UUUUUCUCUCUCUUUUCUUUUGGUUAAGUCAAUAUCACUAAUGUACCUUCCAUAUUUAGCUUUUUACCUAUAGGUCAUUCUUGUCUUGCUUCAAUUAUAACACAAGAUGUCAUCCUAUAUUUCCAACUUGGAUGAUGACAGUAUUAAGAACUACAACAGCUUCUCAAGCACCCAAGCUCUCUCUCCCAUCCUUAACUGCUUCCAGAGCACACCUUAACCCUUUCCCAGCAUAAAGAAAAGAACAAGAUAUCCAAGAGAAAGAAUAAGCAAUGAGAUGAAAUGUUGUCUUUGCCAUAAUUGGCACACCCUGCCAUCUCCACAAACCCUAGCUUAAACAUUUUAUCUUAAGUCAGAAAUAUAUACAUAUGUUUCAUAGGGCUAUGGCGUAUUUAAAACAAUUCCCCCCCCCCCCCCCCCUCCUAAUAUUGCACAAAACCACCAUAUCAAAAUUAAAAAGUUUAUUUGCACUCACUACCCUCCACGACGUAUUGCAGGGUUUAGGAGUUCAAUUCAGAAAGGUUUUUUCUUCCCUGGAGAUUCUUUUCUAUCCAACAAAUCAUUCAAUUUGGCUAGUUAUGAAUUGUUUCUUCUAUACCCCAGAGAAAUCUAUUCAAAGAAGGACUGUCCUAGAAUUUCAUAUUUAAUCCAAAAUUAUUGCUUCUUCAAAGUUCAAACCAAAUACCUCUUCUAUUUGCCUAGAAUCACAACUUCAAGUAAUCAAAAGCCAUAACAGAUUUUUAGCAUGGUUGGAAUACCUUUGGAAGGAUAUGAUCAAACAUGUCACCUUGUGCAGAUAGAGAAUUGAGGCUGCUACAUCCGCUUCACAUACUCAGGAUGCAAGUAAUAUCUUUCUUUAUAUUGCCAUAUCCCAAGCUCUUGGAUCAGUGAUUCUGCGGAUGUCAAACCAAAUGACUGAGACAUCGGGUAACAUCACAUUAUGAAACAAAUUUAGUUUAGAAAAGGUCCCAGUGAAUUGUUUCUAAACCCCAGAAAAAUCUAUUCAGAGAGGAACUGUUCUAGAAUUUCAUACUUAAUCAAAUAUUACUACUUCUUCAACCAAAUACCAGUCCUAUUUGCCUAGAAUCGCAACUCAAGUAAUCGUAAGCCAUGAUAGAUUAUACAUUGUUCAAAUAUCUUUGGAACGUUGUAAUAUUCCACCUGAUAUGAUUGAACAUGUCAGCCAGUACAGACACAAAAUUAAGGCCACUGCCCCCACUCCACACACUCAGGAUGCAAUUGACAUCUUUCUAAUGCAAUAUCCCAAGCUCUUGCAUCAGUGAUCCUGGGGAGAUCAAACCAAUGGACUUGGACAUCAGGUAACAUCACAUCUCUGAAACAAAUGCUGGUUAGAGAAUGCGCUGAAGGUCAUCAGACCACAUUGACAAGGCACUGAGGUAAUGCACCUAUAUCUGAACCAGUUUCUGGUAGGAAAGAUAUCGAAAUAUCCAUUUAAUGCAUGGCUUAUUGAGCCAAGUAAUAAGAUCCGUGAAUAUAGACCAACUCCCAAAGACUCUUCAUGUUAUGAGUUAUCUAUCUAAUUUAUCUCUUCUAGUAGUUUGAGAAAAAUCUCAGGACUGAUUCAUUACAUUCUAAGCAUCACAAUUAAUAAGGUAUCUAAUUUAUCUCUUCUAGUAUUUUGGCUAGGGUUAUUUUGGGCUUUGUACCCAACUUAAUGAAAUAAAAAGAGGUGAAUGGAGGGUCCUAGGCCAUUCACUUGACUUUAUUUUCAAGGGGGGGAAAAAAAGAGUGAAAGCUCCAGGCUUUUGAACCCUAGCUUGGGUGUAAGGAAGAAACCAUAGGGCUUUUCUUAAUUAUUGCUUGUGUAGGGCCUAAAUUCGUGCUUUUACCAUCGUCAUCACUCACUGCUCAUUACCAUUGGCUGCUUGCUGGCUCAUUAUCACUCACUACUCAAUGAUGCUCUGGUUUUCACAAAUUCCCUACAUCAAUAUUUGACAUUUCCGAUGUGCAUAUCAGAUACAUGUGUUGGAUCCAUUCUUCUUCCGGCACAUACAAAUAGCACGUCCGCCCUGUUUCGGGUGUUUGGAAACAUAAAACCAUAAGAAAAGUCAAGAACCAAUGUACUACUGGUUUAGCUACCGUUUCAAACAAUUAAUCUAUGCCAACAAGAGGAAGCUCAAGCUCUAAAUAACACCCACAAUGCCUGUAAGUAGCCAGAUUAGAACAUGUAGUCUUUUGGAUAGCUUUUCCGGACAAGGUUAGGCCUUGUUGAAAACCAAUUUCAAUCUAAUUUAAACUUUGAACAAGUAUGUGGCAUAUUUUCCAAAAGACAAGGACAAAAUAAAUAUAGCAAGUGCCUCAAAGUUCCUCAACAAAUUAUGUGAUUCCAUAAAGCUGGUUGAAUCAAUACCCAUCUUUCCAUUCAUCUAGAUCGCAUUUUUCUUUUUGUACUUAUCCUUAAAAUGUGUACGAAUUUAGUACACAGGAUAACCUAAAAGGUUUUCCUAGAGUACAAAUACUAUGUCAAGAACCAUGAUCAUGGGCUUUUGCUUGAAACUAGAGCUCCAUUUAGUUUGUGUUCACUUUUUCGUGAGAAGCAAGCUCCAAGAGAUUGGAACCAUAAGUUCAAGUCUUCAUGACAUUUCAAAGAACAGAUAUGAUAAGCACAUAUGAACAUAGAGUUCUACCAUCCUAGCAAAUCCAUCAUUUUUAUUGACAUUUUUAUGAUAGUGACACAAUUUUACAGGAAGUUAAAAUAACAUUAGAAAAUGUAUCAAUGUGCAUCCGCCAAUAAGGCUCAAGCAUUGCAGGUUAAGUUACUGCACCAAAUUUAGUGACAAACGCAUCAUACCAAAUGUACUACGAAAAGUGCUAGGGAAAACUAAUCAAAAAGAGCCAAUUCUCAGAUGCUCACAAAAACAAUACAGACCGAGAGCAGUUGAGCUCACUUCUUUCUCACAAAAAACAUGGAUCACAAUACAGACCAAGCACGGUCAUGAAACAACUCCUAUAACACACAUUUUGGUAAGAACAAGAAACUUCCAGCGUGAAUAAGCAUCACCACUGUAAGAAAAUUAUUCCCAAAAGUAAACGCAAGACAAAAAGAACAUCUAGAGGCCUGACUAUUACCCCAAUGCACAAUUCCAGUUUCAGACAAGAAAACCAACCAAAAAAAACAGUCAUAAAAAAAAUAAAAAUAAAAAAAAUAAAAAAAAACAUAGAGAAAAAGGGUAGAAAUCAAAUGUACAUUAUUGGAACAAAUGGGUUAGCCACACAAAACUCCCGCUUAGCUAGCAGAAAAAAUACAUACAUUUUUUGACAAUCCCAAGUCCCCUUUGGUCACCAUUCAACACUCCAAUCGGCUAAAAAAAUAAAGAACUAUGGUUUAAAUCAAAUGGCACAAACACAAACUGAUUAACAUUGCACGACUAAAACACCCAGCCGAAAAGCACCGCUUUUGAAGCAUUCAGGCUUCCGAGGGAUGAUUAAACAAACAAUAGCAAAAUGGAAACCAUAAUCCAAGCAGGAAAGUACAAACUUCUCGCUUUUAGGAGAUUCCAAUUAAGUGAGAACCAGACAAUUGUACGUUUCCCAUUUCAGCCACAACUCAGGGCACAGUUCAAAGAAAUUUUUUCAAAGCUGAACUUACUCGAUUCCGACCACUGUCCUCCUCUCUAUCAGAAAUCGAAUUCACCACUGAAGCCCCAGCCAAGCGCACAGUAGAAGCAACACUUGAUGCACCGGAUGAAACUAUUCUCAGGUAGGUGGAAAUUGCCCUAAAAGAAGUUGGAAAAAAACCAUUACUUCUCCCUUGAGCCUUGUUCUCAUCGUUCCUCAUCAUCCCCCCCCCCUCAGAAAACCCUGAUUCCCAAAUCAUAUACUCUCAGUCUGCUUCUUUAUAGACACUGGAACAGCCUUAAUUUCCCAAUUUUGUCAUGGCAAUCCCCCAUUUAUACCAAAAAGUGUAGAAGUAACAAAUUAUUGUUUCAAAAAAUAGAUAUAAUAUUUACAGAGAAAUCAAAAAGCCUCCAAAAGAGAUGAAUGAUCGCUUCGUGGGUGAAGAAAAGAACCCAACAAAAAAAUUUUCAAAUUAAAUUAGAAAGCUAUACAGAAUAACAGCCUAUUUACCAAAAUGAAAGCUUAUAAAGAGGGUCAAAUCACAAAUAUGUACAGUUGGUUUCAAAGAUCAAUCAAAUUUUGAAAGGAUCUCAAUCAAACGGAGAGAAAGAAACCCCAAAAAUCACAUUUUUAAAAAAAAAAUACUGAUUUUCUCCUUUGCUUAGGAUGGGUGCAUCAGCGAUGAAAAAACAGAUGAUCCUUAUAUAAAGUCAGAUGAUAAUAGGACCGUUAGCUAAUAUCUAGCAACAAACAAAGCUGUUCAUAUUCAAAAUCAAGUAGAGAAAGAAACCCUAGAUAACGCCAUAAAAUAUGCGAGUUUCUAUGAUCUUUUUACCAAAUAAAAUUGAGAGGGAGAGAGAGUUUUAGAAGAAAAAAUGGAAGGGGGAACGUUCAUAAUUGGGGGGGGGUGCCGCUCGAUUUGCUGAGAACGAGGGACUUUGUUUUAGGGAAACGUACAAAAAAUAAGUAUUAAACUUUUAAUUCGGACUUUUUUGUAUUUUAAACCGCUUUAAAUUCCCUCGCCUUCUUGACGUCAAGAACCUUCACGGGCGGUAGAAACGGGAAGAAGCUGAAAAUGAUAGAAAAAUAAAAUGAAAAAAAAAAGCAAACUUAAACUUUGAUAAAUGUGCACUUCAAAAACUCAUCGGAGGAGAUUCUUUUGAUGUUAGAAAAUUUGGAAUGAAAUCAAAUAAAAUCUGAGUCCUAAAAACAUU
This 4790-nucleotide long non-coding RNA is filed under the name Amborella trichopoda. Its description in RNAcentral is "long non-coding RNA (ATRI_LNC001376)". The record is from RNAcentral. Lineage: Eukaryota; Viridiplantae; Streptophyta; Magnoliopsida; Amborellales; Amborellaceae.